This 26-nucleotide small RNA is filed under the name Arabidopsis thaliana (thale cress). Its description in RNAcentral is "ATSL080290". The record is from RNAcentral. Lineage: Eukaryota; Viridiplantae; Streptophyta; Magnoliopsida; Brassicales; Brassicaceae.
ACUUGGAGCUCUCGACUGAGAUUGUU